This 8493-nucleotide long non-coding RNA is filed under the name Marmota monax (woodchuck). The record is from RNAcentral. Lineage: Eukaryota; Metazoa; Chordata; Mammalia; Rodentia; Sciuridae.
UCCCCACCCCCAGCACACACUAUAGCACUCCUUCCGCCCUGAUUUGCCUCUGGGAAAACAAGCCGGAGAGCUGGGGGCAGUCUCCCAAAAUCACGCCGCGGAGAACUGGGUGUCUGGAAUAGAAGCGUGCUUAUAUCUCUCCACUCCCUGUCUGGUGGUGGGCCCAUAUUCUGUGCAGCCUCUAGGAAGCGCUAGACCCAUGUAAGUGGUUUCUUUUCUGCGGUUAGGAUCUUACCCCUGCCCCCCACCCUUAUGGACCAGAGUAUAUGGUGGAAAUACUGAAGUCGGGAAUCGUGGUUCUCUCUUGGACAGGCCCCCACGGUGUGAAGUGCGCAAAUCACGGAACUUCUCUGAGCUUUCAUUUGCCUCAUCAGCAAGUGGGACUGGAGAGAUCCUCCGCUUUGGUCUGCCAGGAGUUAGUAGCAUUGUUGCCUUCAGGGAAGUGGUCACUAAACAGCCCCUUCCCUACCCUUUCUUAGAGUUUCCCAGAGCCCCUACUAGUGUGAUUAGGGGAACCAGUUGUAUUUUCCAGUGAGGAGCAGCAGGGGAGGAAAAGGUUGGCAGUCAGCUUUUCCCCAAGCCUUCCAACUGAGUCUGGGGUUUGACGUAUGUCCUAUAGCAGUUUAAUUUCCUGGGUUAUGAUUGGAACUUUGCUGCUGCUGAACUUGGGGGAAUUCAUCCGUGGGUUUGUAGACCAGGGCCUUAAGGUAUCUGUGGCUUUUGUGAUUUCAGAAACCAACAGCAGCUGGUAUCAGUGGGAAGUCGUCCAACUUUUCUUCACUCCAGGCACUAACCUCCCUGUCACUCCUGGAGGAGAGGAUAACUGGCUACUACCAGCCAGGCACUGAGUUGGGGUGGGGGUGGGGUAAUGAUACCAGUGAUGACAGGAUCCAGUUACUUCCCCCAAGGAAGAACAUUAUCUGUGGCCUGAAUCAUUAUCUGCUAAUCAGGGAGCUGAUGUUCUAUAUAAUGUUUUAUAAUAAAACGAAGUUUCAUGCACCUAACACCCACAAUCCACCAGGUUUUCUAAACAAUGUAUACCAUUGUCUUCUUACAACCAUUUUGAGAAGCAUAUAUAAUUAUCCAGACCAAACCUGAGGAAAUAGUCCCAGAAAUAUUGAGUGUCUUGCUCAGGUCACACAGGCAGCUGGAAAUUGAUCUCAGAUUUGUGUUGCAUUCCCUUGUAUUUUCUCCUUUCCUGCAAACUUUCUUGUGAAGUAUUAGUUUUGUGCAGAGGAAAGAGUGCUUGGGAGAUGGAAGAAAUGUUUUUUUUCCUGAGCCUCUGAUUGUAACUCCUAUCAGAGCUCUAGUAUGUAGAAGCCUAAUCUCAGGACCUGGUAAAUAAUAUAUAUAUAUAUUUUUUUUUUUUUUUUUUGCCUAAGGGUUCUUUGUGUUCAUCUCUGCCUUAUGUGGUGUAGCAGGCCGAUUUUCGUCUUGUGUAGAGAAAUAGCAUAUUUCACCCCAAAAUUAACAGCUCUGAUCAUGGCAAUGUCUCUCUGUCUGGAGGCCUUCAUUGGCCUCCUCUUUUUUACCAGGAGAGAUUUCCACUCCUUUGCCCAGAAGGGGCCAGUUCAGCACCUCCUCUUUCUAUCCUCCCUUGUCCCUCCCAGUUCCCUGUCAGGAAAAGCUGAGUUCUUCUGUCCUAAUGAGCAACCCUAGCAUGGGUUGAAAUUUCCUGCUCCAGCUUCAUCCCCACUGUCCUAAUGAGCAACCCUAGCAUGGGUUGAAAUUUCCUGCUCCAGUUUCAUCCCCACUGUGGGUCUUCGGGGAAGCUCUGCUCACUGUGGUCACUUAAGGACUGUUGUUGAGGAGGCUUCAUGUUGACAAGGCGCUUCUCAACUACCUUGAAUGGGGGAGAGUACUUAGCCAAUCACGGACUGGGCCUGGGUACAUCACUUCUGCUCAUGUACCACUGACCAAAGCAAAUCAUGUGGCCCUGCCAACUUUAAGACUCUGUGACCAUGCCAAGUGUCUGAAAAGGAGUGUCUCUCCAGGAGUACUUGAGGAAACUAAGGACUCUUACAGUCUCCAUUUCUGUUCACCAAAUGUUUGGUUCACUCUUGCCUCAACCACAGUAUUUGUUCACCCUUUCCUCAAGGGUGUCAGCCCUGAAGACCCUUCCAGUCACAAUAUCAGCUCAUUUUCCAGAUUUUCUGGAUGAUGUGUAGUAGAGUCUGCCUCGGGUCCAGAUGUGUCUCUGCUUCAUCAGAAGGAAAGAUACCUCCCCUGCAUUUAUUCUGGGACAGUCAUAGAAUCUCCAUUUGGAAAGGGAAGGAAUUGGAGGUCACAGUAGAUGCUGGCCCACUGAGCAGAUAUUUUGAAGGUCCCCUCAACCCAGUACCCCAAUUAAACCCUGGCUCUGUUUCCUAAGUAUAGCCCUCAUCUGUUGUUUUCUGUGACUCCUGGAUUUGCCUCUCAUAGUCUGCCUUAUCUACAUUAGAUGUAUCUUAGGGAAUAUACUUUAAGCCUUUAAGGAAUUGAGGGAUGGAUGGAUGUAGGUGAUGUCAAAUUUUGAAGAUGGCCUCCUGUAAUACAGGCUGCUAUUCUUUGGUAGGAACAUUUCUCUCAAAUAUGUAGACUUCUUGUCUACUGGACACCAGGUAUGCCAUAUGCCAAUAGCUGCAGCCACAGUUCUUUUCUAAACAGACUCCUAUGGUUUGCAAUUUUUCUUUGCUUCCUUGCUCUCUUGCCUGCAGAUCCCUGUCUCUGUCUCUCACACUCUUGCCUUCAGCUUGGUUUUGAGUGCUUUAAUCUUAUUGGGCACUGGUGGGGGAGCUGUCAGACCUCUUCUCCUCCCUUUUUCAGAGCCAUUUUGUCCAGUUGGAAGCAGACACUAAGUUACAUCCUGAUUUAUCCUAUGGUUUUAGCAUUAGGUUCACACCCCUUGACUUGAUCCUUGUUCCAGAGCUGAUCUUCUUCAAGGUCCUUUUUUUGGUGGAAAACAUUUCUUGAUUUUAUAGUUUGGAUUGAGAAACGAUUACCUCUUCUAACCUUACAAAUCCCUGAAUCUGUAGGUUAUCUCUACUCUUUUUCAUUCCUGCUCACUGAGUGGCCAGAUCUUUUCUGAGCUCAUCUCUUUGGGAAGUUAUUUAGGAUAAUUUCCCAAAUGCAUCCAGCAGCCACCAAUACAUGCUGCUAACAUUGUUUUAUACUUUCUUGCUUUAGUUCAGUAGGUUGGUGACUUUCCUUCUACAUUAUCACAGAUGAUGGAUUUACCAAAUAGAUCACUAUCCUUUCAGCUUCUGAUAACAGUGUUCUUACGUUUUUGCCAGCUGAUGAAUAUUGAGUAGUUGACGUGUUUAUUAUUGUUAUUACAUUACCCUUUGUCUAGGUGCCAGCUUUUUUUAAAAAAAUAUUUUGGUUUUAGUUGUAGUUGGACACAAUACCUUUAUUUUAUUUAUUUAUUUAUUUUUAUGUGAUACUAAAGAUCGAACCCAGCACCUCACACAUGCUAGGCCAGCGCUUUACCACUGAGCCACAACCCCAGCCCCUGUCUAGGUGCCAACUUUUGUAUCAGCCAGGAGCAGGUAGGUUAUGCGCGGUAACAAAAAAAUCCUAAAAUCAGUGGCUUAACACCGAAACUUUAUUUUUUGCUCAUACUAUAUGUUUGAGGUCAAAGGGACUCUGCUCACUGUGCUCACUCAGAAUCCUGUGCUGAAGAUUUCAUCCUGAUGUUUCCACAGUGAAUUCAGUCACCCUGGCAGGAAAAGAAAGCAUAGCAAAUUCACGUUGACUCUAAACCCUUCCUUCCAGGAAUGAAACACAUUAUUCUGUUUAUUGGCCCAGACCAGUCACAUGAACAUGCCUUCAAGGUAUAGGAAAGUACAACCCUACUGUGUGUGUCUAGAAGUCAGAGAGAUGGAAAAAGCAUACCUCUGUCUAGACUAGGUGAUGCUUUGAUAGCCAUCCACAAAUCUGGAUUACAGCCUGAAUUGUUUCUCACUUGUACUGCAUGUCUGUCAUAAGUCAGCUGUGUUUGUACUUUUACCCCCAUCUUUGCCCCAGACCCUGACUAAUAAAGCAUCUUUUCUCUAAAACAUCACUGGUGGUUGUGGCAGAGAGAAAAGAGCAUGGCUUCUAAAGCUUCUGCUGAGAGCAGUUUACAUGGCCAAGCCUGAUGUCAGUGGGGAGGGACAGGGAGUAUUUGUGAAUGGUAAUGCAGUCCACCACACCCUGUACUCCACAUUCCCUCCAUUCCUUUGAGUCUCAACUACUCCAAACAUUUUCCAUUCCUCUAGCAUUUUCUUCUUUCCAUUUACUUUUUUUUUUUUUUGUCCUUAAGCAAAAUGUGAACUGGCGAACUCCUAUUCACUCUUCAAGACCCAGCUCAAAUAAUCAUUCAUUCUGAAGUUUCUUCUACCCUAUUCUCCCACCUAGCCCUCAAAGUUAUCUUCUUUGGCUCUCACCACACUGGGUACACAUCUGAAGGAGAGGAUGUCAAUCACAUGAAUUUGUAAAUGCCUUCUUUAGUCCCUGACUCCAAAUUCAGAAAAUGUGUCCUACUUAUUUUGUAUUACCAAUGCUUAAUAAGGAACUGGGCACAUGCAGCCAGAGAAGGUGCUUAAUGAAUGGUUGUUGAGGAUUUUUUUUUAAAAGCCUUUUCCAUGGUGGAAUUAAGGGGGUGUUUUAAUAGUCACAUCAAAAAUGGUACCUUGUUUUAUUACAUAAUAUAUGGAACAUGUGAAACCCCCUAGCUAAAAUGUUAGUCUGAAGCAGCUAGUACUUCUUCCCUUACUUUGUUUUCUCCAGCCACACUGGCUAUGGCUAGAUCAGUGAGGAUCGCCUAAAUUAUGAUAAAAUUAUGUAAAAAACAGUUCCCAGAUUUGGGGACUUAUGAUAAAAAACAAACAGAAGGAGGGUGAGAAUGGUGUUUCUUGCUUCUGCUACAUAUCUAUCAAGGUUGGGAAGGUCUCUGUGCCAUGUUCCUCUGGGAUCCAGACUAAUGGAGCACCCACUUUUGGUAAGGUAACAGAUCUCAUGGUAGAGGAAAAGAGAGCUUUAAAGGGUCUUACCUGGGCCAUUAAGUGUCUUUGUUUUAAAUGGCCACAUGUCACUUCUCACAAUUAAUUGGCUAAACCUAGUCCUCAGCCCCUCCCAGCCACAAGGGGCCAAGAAAUGCAAUCCUAUUUGCCUGGAAGGCAGAGAUCUGGAAGUAUUUGGUGACCAUUCUAAAGACUCCCACACUGGCUUUUCUUGGUUCCCCAAACAUGACAAACUAUCUGUUGCCUCAGAACCCUUAUAUGAGUCCUUCCCCUCUUCCCUAUUCUUCCGCUGAUUUCUUUCAUUGAAUUUAGCAUAAGUGGUACUUACAGAGAUUGCCUGUGACUUCCAUACUCCUACCUGAAUUAGAUUUCCCCUUUUACAUUCUCUCAAAAGUACCUAUAUAUUUUUCUUUGUAGUUAUUUGGAUUUGAGGGUAGGUAAUGAAUAACACCCCUUUCAGUUAAGAAUCAGCUGAAAGUUUGACACAGGGAUCCUCAGAUAAUGGGGGUCAUGAUGUUAUUUUGACAGUUAAUAUAGACUGUAUUGGAGAUCAUGGCAGACAUGAAGCCACAAUGGGUUUCCUGAUGCUUCACCCCUGAAUUAAACUAACCUAAUUGUUCCUGGCAGAGAUGGGCAGCUGCAGGUUGCUUCCAAAGGGGCAAUUCAUGUAAACCUCCUUUGGGUGAAUUAACUGUGAAAGAGAGCAAGAGGUAGGCUGAGGUAGGCUUGCUGGGGCUCCUCUUCUGAAGCAAGACAGUAACUCACUCUCCUUCCCAGGGGGAGUAAGUAGGUCUGAAAGACCUGCUUACAAAUGUCCCUAACAAAUGUCUCCUCACAGAAAACUGAGGCUAGGGAAAUGGCAGUUUCCUCUUAGCAAUAGAAUUAAAUAUGUUAUUAUGUAUUUCUUUGUAUGAUUGUGUAUUUUUUAACUUUUUGUUUAAGGUGUCUUUCACCAACCAGAGGCCAAGCAUCAAGAAGGCAGAAGAAAGUAUCUCUUGGUCUUCACUGAGUCUACAGCAUCUAGCAUGGCCCAGAGAGUGUGCUCAGUCAAUCUGGGUUAUUCAUCAGAGGUUUUGGUCAAGGAGAAGUACAGAACUGUACAUCACCCUUAUGGGCAUGCCUAGACUGCACUCAAAAUUUCCACAAAACUUUCAGGAUCAUAAAGUAGCCAGAGUCCUUCUGGGUGAUCUUCCAAGACCUGUCCUUCUCCCAGUGAAGGACCUCCUUUGGCAGCAUCUUGGCUACUUAAAUAUUGUAGCCACAGAGUGAGGACAUGAUGCCCAGAGAGCAGUAGUACUAAUCCUACUUAGUGCUGCUGGCUGGACACCUGCAGGAAUACUGUGGGUAUGAAACUUGGAGAGCAAUUUUGGCCAACCAUAGAGAUCUGAAGGUAGGAUGGCAACACCAUAAGAGACCUGAAACCAUGCUCCAUGGGAAAGAACGGAAAGAACUGGGAUUAUUCAGGUGGGCAUGGGGUAGGGAUGGUGGGGACAAGACAGAACAUAUAGGAGUCUCCAAAUAGGGGGAGUUGACUUUACUCUGUAGGCUUUGAGGUCAGAGCUAGAGUAAUGGUUAGACGUUAGAGAAGACAGCUGCUAUAUUUAAGGAAGAACUUUGUGAAAUUAGUUAUUUAUCAAUAGGACAAUUACUUUAACUGUAGAAUUGAAGUCCCUCCACUCAACACAUAUUUAUUGUUUUCUAUGUUCCAGACACUCUGUAAGGUUAGUUUAUGAUAAUUCCUCGCAAGCACAUAGUACUUGUGGUAUUCAUCACUUAUUUUCACAGUUCAUAAAAGCCAUCUUAAGUAGUCUCAUUUAGAAUUUGGAGUUUGUCUCCAACAUUAGUGGUUUCUCAAUUCUAGAGUUACACAUUUUUACUCACAAAAUUUGUAAACUGCAUUGAUGUUUUCUCAUGUCCAAUGUUAGUUAUAUGGACAUUCUUCUAUCAAAACAAGUGUUUUCAGUAUCAUAAAUCAAAAUUACCUAGACUUUAUCCACUGUCUUUAUUGCUUCCAUAUUUGUUUUAAACUUUUCUGCAAUAAACAUGUACGUGAGGAUCACUUGGGAAGAUGAGAUACUCCCUUACUGUUCUGGUAGAAGAACUAUAAAGUAUCCACCAAGCCCCUGCCCUUUGUGCCUUGGUACACAGCUAGACUGCAUUUCCUGGCUCCUUUGUAAGUAGGUGUUCCUGAGUUUUAAACAUUGCAAAGAGGGUCAAUAGGAUGUGCGUCACAGGCCUGGUUCAUAAAACCAUCUCUCCCUAUCUCCUGAUAAGGGACUCCAAGGUCAUACACAGGGAUACAACCACAGAGAGAAGGAGCCUGAAUCUCUGAAAGAAGGUCGUCUGAAACCCAGAAAUCGGGUUUGGGCUUGGAUGAGAAAUCAACUUUAUUAUGUUGAUGGAUUGAGAUUUGGGAUAUUUGUUAGAGCUGCCAAUGUCAUCUUACUGCCGUUGGUGCUGCAGGAUAACCUCAGUGAGGGAUCACAGAUCCAAAGUAGGGGUUUUGUCCCAGUUUGAAGAGAAUUAAUGGAGAAGACAGAGUAAAGCAGAUGGCACUUAAUUGCAUAUGGAGGCUUCCUUUUGCUAAUAUUUUCUUCCCAUCUAAUUUAUAAACUUCAUGAGGCAUGUUAGCAUGUCUUAUGUCCUCUGCUGUAUUUCAUCGUAGAGUAUUUACUGAGAAAUGCCUGGUGCUUUGGGGUUUUCAGAAAGAAUCCAGAGAGCACAUACUGUUAAACAUUCAUUAAUUCAACAGUGUGUGAGUAUUUACCAUAGGCCAGCCUCUGGUGAUCAUGGUAAACAGGAACUACAGGCCUGCCUACAAGUUGACAGAUAGCAAGGAAAGUGGGUAACCAGGAGGUAAGACUAGUCUGAUAAUGCCGUGACGUGACAGAGAGGAACAGGAUUCUCUGCCUGCACAUGGCAUCUAACAAGGGUAGAGACCAGAGAAUUGUUGUUCAGAAGGUGGUGAAAGUUUUAAACUGAGACUUCCAGGAUGGAUAGAAGCACCCAGAAGAAGUGGAGGUGGUGCAGAGAAAAAGAAUAAUCUAAGAAGAGUCAGGACAUACAACAAGGCCUGGUGUUAACGAAUGUAGGGCAUGUUUGGAGGGACAAAAGGGAAGCAAGAAAGGAAGAGUGAGGAUGAGCAUCAGAGGAGGGCUUUGUGGUUUAUGUACACAUGUACUGAAAUGCACCUGGAGGCCUUGCACUAUGUACAAACAUCAUACACUAAGAUGUGUAUGCAUGUUCUUAGGAAAUAGGACUGGGUAGCCAUCAAGAUGUCAAUGAAUGGGCUGGGGUUGUGGCUCAGUGGUAGAGCACUUGCCUCACAUAUGUGAGGCACUGGGUUUGAAUCUCAGCACUGCAUAUAAAAAAAUAAAAUAAAAGUCCAUCAACAACUAAAAAAAAUAUUCUUAAGAAAUGUCAAUGACUGCUAUUUGGGUAAAUUCCACUGUCCUAUUUGUUUUAAACUUUUCUGCAAUAAACAUGUACACUCGCAAUUUUAAAAAAAUCA